UACGGAGGGUGCAAGCGUUGUCCGGAAUCACUGGGUGUAAAGGGUGCGCAGGCGGGCCUGUAAGUCAGGGGUGAAAGCCAUCGGCUCAACCGAUGAAUUGCCCUUGAUACUGCAGGUCUUGAAUCCUGGAGAGGCUGUCGGAAUUCGUGGUGUAGCGGUGAAAUGCGUAGAUAUCACGAGGAACACCGGAAGCGUAGGCGGACAGCUGGACAGGUAUUGACGCUGAGGCACGAAAGCGUGGGGAGCGAACAGG
Molecule: unclassified non-coding RNA, 253 nt
Filed under: uncultured Bacteroidota bacterium
Lineage: Bacteria; Pseudomonadati; Bacteroidota
Description: uncultured Bacteroidetes bacterium contains 16S-23S intergenic spacer region
Rfam family: Bacterial small subunit ribosomal RNA
Source: RNAcentral